CUGCAGUUUUGGGUGAACAGAGAGAUCCGUUGUGGAGCCUAUGACAUUUGUGUUUGGGUCCCUGAGGUUGGAAUGAGAUGAACAUGAGCCACUCAUCCUGGAUAUGCUGACCAUGCCUUUGGGAGUGCCUUUGAACCCCAUCCAAGGGAUGUACUGGUGGGCAGCCCACUCCUCCCUGAAGUCUUAGCAGCGUUUGAGCCAGUUAAAUGGUCCUAGGCAUAAGCAGCUGCCAUCUCACCAACUAACAUGGGCUACUAAAGCACAUGGCAUGGAAAGAGCUCAGUGUAUGUUGUGUAGGCACUCCAACCUGAAAUCCUUUUAAUAUAAAAACCUUAAUACUAUCACAAAUCUAACACAGGUUGACCAUCUCUAAUCUGGAAACCAGAAUUCCAAAAUGUCCCCAAACCUGAAACUUUUAGGGUGGCAAAUUGAUACC
This 436-nucleotide long non-coding RNA is filed under the name Marmota monax (woodchuck). The record is from RNAcentral. Lineage: Eukaryota; Metazoa; Chordata; Mammalia; Rodentia; Sciuridae.